This is a non-coding RNA of Gossypium raimondii (Peruvian cotton), 138 nucleotides long. The record is from Rfam. Lineage: Eukaryota; Viridiplantae; Streptophyta; Magnoliopsida; Malvales; Malvaceae.
AAUUAAAAUAUUCAUCCAUUUCUACUAGUAAAAACUAGUAUGGCUGACAAAAUAACCAAAUAGCUAGACAUGGCGUACCAUGUGCACCUUAUACAUGUACCAAUUUUUAACAGUAGAAAUAGAUGAUUUUUUUUAACA